AUGAAAUGAAAGGGCGCUCUUUUUAGAGGUCCAACCCAUUCUCAUUUUCCUUACCCUGUGCACACACUGUUUUUUACACCCACUUUUAAACACUAUUAGUAUUAAGAAUGUCAUCAGUCUCUUAAUUGAGCAUAAAACAAUAAUA
Molecule: unclassified non-coding RNA, 145 nt
Filed under: uncultured fungus
Lineage: Eukaryota; Fungi
Description: sequence contains ITS1, 5.8S rRNA gene
Source: RNAcentral